UACGUAGGGGGCAAGCGUUAUCCGGAUUUACUGGGUGUAAAGGGAGCGUAGACGGCACGGCAAGCCAGAUGUGAAAGCCCGGGGCUCAACCCUGGGACUGCAUUUGGAACUGCUGGGCUAGAGUGUCGGAGAGGCAAGUGGAAUUCCUAGUGUAGCGGUGAAAUGCGUAGAUAUUAGGAGGAACACCAGUGGCGAAGGCGGCUUGCUGGACGAUGACUGACGUUGAGGCUCGAAAGCGUGGGGAGCAAACAGG
RNAcentral lists this ribosomal RNA (253 nucleotides) under Dorea longicatena. Its description in RNAcentral is "partial 16S ribosomal RNA". It matches the Rfam family "Bacterial small subunit ribosomal RNA", at positions 524 to 776 of the family's 1533-position model. The record is from RNAcentral. Lineage: Bacteria; Bacillati; Bacillota; Clostridia; Lachnospirales; Lachnospiraceae.